UCAGCCCCAAGGUCAGCGGGGUCAGCCCCAAGGUCAGCGGGGUCAGUCCUGAGGUCAGUGUGGUCAGUCCUGAGGUCAGUGGGGUCAGCCCCAAGGUCAGCGGGGUCAGCCCCAAGGUCAGUGGGGUCAGCUCCAAGGUCAGUGGGGUCAGCCCCAAGGUCAGCGGGGUCAGCCCCAAGGUGAGUGGGGUCAGUCCUGAGGUCGCCCACACAGAGCCCUGCUCAGCAGCCCAGACAAGGCCGGACGCCCAGCCCUGUGCCCGCCCUGGGGCUCAGGUCACCCCGGGGCCACCGCUCAGCCGCGGUGUCCAGGCCACAGGGACCCGGGGCAGCCCCAGAUCCCAGGUCCCCAC
Ochotona curzoniae (black-lipped pika) is the source of this 352-nucleotide long non-coding RNA. RefSeq lists it as uncharacterized. NCBI's taxonomy places the organism in Eukaryota, Metazoa, Chordata, Mammalia, Lagomorpha, Ochotonidae. The record is from RefSeq and is a predicted model, not a curated record. The transcript is spliced from 3 exons.